AUUUUUUAAAAGUUUUGUCAUGGGCACAUACUAAUCUUGUAAUGUUAUUUUGGAAGCCAUUUUUUAAUGGAACAGGGCGGGAAAAGCCCCCUCGCAGUGAUGCUGCUAAGCUGCCAGCAAACCCUCUCCGUUUUCUCUCAUGAACCGGGCGAACGUCAGGGGCUGUUAGACUGGAAAGGGCUGCCUUCGUUUAGCUCUCCCCUGUCCCCGGUGAGAAAACUGAGGUACAAGGUGGAGCCAGGCCUCCGUGUUCACAGCCGUCACUUUGGUGCAAGCCUGGCUGGCCUCUGCAACUUUGCCCAGUCUGGUGCGGAAAAGAAGCACGCUCCUGCUGGCUGCUCCUGGGCCCCGUGCUUUGGCCCUGUCAUCAAAUACCAGCGCAAGAGACCCUGAAGCCUGGCCUUCCCUCUCCCCAAACCCCGCCAUCUCUCAGGAGCAUAGGCGUCCCUAUCGUCUCACAGGAGAGAGUUUCAUUGGUACUAUCACCCGAACUUCCGCAUUCCUCUGGAUUUGUACACUUUACAGAGUAUGAACAGCUGUAGCUUUUCAGCAAAAAUGAACACAGCCUCCAGUAAGAGACACACAGAGGUUACCCAGCUUAGACCUACCCACCAGCAGCUCCCAGCCUGUGGGUACAGGGAGUGCAACAAAUAGCCUCCCACCUCCGACUUCUCCCUGCCUUCCCCCCUGAGCCGCGGAGGGGGAGUUCAGGUGAGUCUGGCCAGGUGUGGGCCACAGGGAUUCUUCCUCCUGUGACGUAGCAGAAAAAGCACUUGUUUUAAACAGCAGAAGACAUGAGUUUGCAAGAGCAUUCUAUCACUUAUGAAUUCUGUGCCCGUGGAAAAGUCAUAGGAACCUCGAUUUUCAUGAUGAUUGCAGUGGAAACUUUCUUGUGUUUGCGAACGCAGACGGACACUCGACACCAAGUUUCUCCAUGGACGGCAUGCAUUUACAUGCAUAAUACGGCGGAUGUGCCCACUCUGACUGCAGCUCAUUUCCUAAGUCGCAAGAAACGCUGGGAAUCCUGUUGGCAGAAAAAUCAAACAAUUAACAAUCCACCUUCUAAACAGACUACUGGUAACGGACGGCUUCAGAGGCAGCCAGUCAGACACGAGCGAAUGCACUCCCCCCACGCCUGGGCUGCCUUGGAGUUCAGAUGAAAACAAGUUCAGGAAGUUGAUUUGAUGGGCAGCACCAACCAAACCACUUAUGAGGCUUGCACAUGCGUGUCAGAAUUAGGCUGCUAUGAAAUACUGUGUGAUCUGUUCCACCUUCUGUAAGUUUCUCAAAAGUGAGGACUCUACUCUCGGAAACAGCGUCCUCCCCGCCACGGCCAUCAGUGUGCAUUUGGUAGACACACGCACUCACACACACUCACAGCUCAUUAAAAUGCAUUGCGAACUUGGCGUCUAUCCCCAGGAUGUUUCUUCAUUAGCUAUUUUGGAUGGCCUCUACCGCACACGCAUUUCAAGAGCCACGUUCCUUUAACUCUCAAAUCAAUACACUCUUAGCAAUUCCAAGUGGCCAGAAAGGUCACCCGCGAACCCCUUCAGUCCUAGAAGAGUGGCAGAGAAGGGAUGGGAAAGGACCCUUCCAAGAUCACACAGCAAGAAGAUGAAGGUAGUUCAUUCACCCUUGGACCUCUCUCUGCUCCAUCAAAAGAUAAAGAGACAUUUGCUAAAUGUCAUUAGUAGUUCCUAUAUGUAAAUGGAAGAAUAAAGACAAAUAAGACACAGUUAUUAUUUUCCAAGGGCUCAUAGUUUGAGAGUGAGACUCAACCUUAAAAACAGGCUACAACCCAAGACAUCAAAUUUCAAGUGGGCCAGAAAAAACAUGGGGUGGAGGGGGCAGAGCUAAUUCCAGUCGAGGGGCCAGGAAGGCUCCAUAGAAACUGAGUACAAGAUCACUCCCUGUGGGCACGUUGUAGAUUGAGUGGAAGACAGAUGCAGACCCGGCUAUUGUCAAGGACAACCUGCUGUCCACAUAGGUAGAGGGAUGGACCACCAACCUCAGAUGGAAAUUCGGGUAGCCUUUUUCCAUAACUACAGCAUCCUUCUCUCUCUCUCGGCCUCUUCCUAUGAACCAACUGAUGAAAAAGGCAGUGAUGUCAAGCAACUUCUGAGCUCACAAGAGAGAUGCAAGGCUGGUGGCAUCUCUAUAACAAAUAAGCCUGAGUCCCAAGUCCCUGCCAGAUCACUAUUUUUCACAGUGGCUUCCAAAAACAAAUAUGUUGCUACCCCAUUGGAAAGGGCAGCUGAGAUUCUAAGCCACUUACCCAAGGAGAAUAAAAGGUGAAGUGAGUAAACCACCCAACCCAAGCACAGAGCUCUUUCCACUAAUCCCCAUGGGCAUGCUCUUGAGAAACUCUAGCCAGACUUGCUGUACUCGCCAAGUCAUGCCCCAGCCCCCACUGUACAGCCCCUACAGUGUUCAGGGCUCUGUGGAAGCAAACACGUAAGAGUCCUGCACUCAUGGAGCUUGUGGUUUGCUUGGGAGAUGUGUGAGCCUCAAGUUAACUAUCUCUUUUAUUUAUAUUAAAUGUAUAUAAUGUUUAUAUGCAUAGAAUGUUUCAUUAUAUUAUAUAUGUGUGCAUAUACAUAAGUGUGUUUAUAUACAUAGAGAGAGAGAGAGACGGAAAGAGAGAGGAAGGGAUUGUUCCUACUGCCCACCACUACUACCAGACACACACUCCACAUCACUACUACCAGACACACACUCCACACAUGGAUGUGGAGUGUGUGUCUGGUAGUAGUGGUGGGCAGUAGGAGCAGGUCAAGAUGCUCAGGGCACGCAGAUCUGACUACACAUGUAUCACCCAGCAGUGACACAGAUACUCAGGUGAGCAAACCAGUCCGGCACAGUAGAAUGGGCAAGAAUGUGAUGGGGUAAAUGAAACCAGGAAAAGAAACCACAAAGUGAGAAGAAGGGGCAGCAUCACACCUCACUUUUUCUGGGAUGCAACCCCACUUCUGCUCAGGGUCCCCUCUCAGACCCACCUGCCCCAACACUUCCAGCCCUCAGUAACGUUUCUGUUUCCCUGCACUCUUGAAACAUUUGGCAUUGCUUCCACAGAACUCAGCUCUGUCUUGCACGUCGUCUUCCCAGGAGUAAACACAUACAUGGGCAUCUCAUGUCUGGAACUCCUCUUUCCAGCACGUGCUCCAGGGGAAGCCUCAGUAGUCUGGCAACAGCGUAGCAUGGCCCAGCCCAGCCAAUAGAGUCCACUGUGAAUCUUUUUUUCUUUUUUUUGAGAUGGAGUCUCACUCUGUUGCCUGGGCUGGAGUGCAAUGGCAUGAUCUCAACUCACUGCAACCUCCGCCUCCCAGGUUCAAGCAAUUCUCCUGCCUCAGCCUCCCGAGAAGCUGGGAUUACAGGAGCCUGCCACUAUGCCCAGCUAAUUUUUUGUAUUUUUAGUAGAGAUGGGGUUUCACCAUGUUGGCCAGGCUGGUCUCGAACUCCUGACCUCGUGAUUUGCCAGCCUCAGCCUCCCAAAGUGCUGGGAGUACAGGUGUCAGCUAUGGUGCUCAUCCUACUGUGAAUCUUAAUGCUAGCACCUGCUGCCAAGUCACUUGGCCUCUCCCGUUCUCACCUGCCUCAUCUGUAAAAUGGGUGAGUAAUACAAUCUACCUCACAGAGUCCUACAAGACAGUAGACAGAGCUCAGCCCGUUGUGCAGCACACAGUAAGCACCCAACAAAAGAGAGUGGGUAACCCUGGCAACUGCAAAAUUGCACAGGUGAUCACUAGUCCUCAGUUUCCCCAUUUGUAGAAUGGGUACUAAGGUGUAAACUCUGCAGGAGUUUCAUGUGGACAGAAUAAUGCACAUAAGGAGCUUGGCACAUAGUAGAUGCUAAAAUUAUUUUGUCUAUGAGCAGCAGGUCUAUAUAUUUUAUAUCCCCAGGGAGCUUUGCUGAAUGUAAUAGACACUCCAUAAACACUUGUUGAUUUAUUGAGAAAAGAAUUCCUUGUACUAAUUACAUGCAUUCACACUGAUGCAAACUGACUCUAUCUGCCCAUUUAAAGAGAAAGAAACAAAACAUUAAGCUUCCUUCACGACAAAGGAGCAUCAAAUCAACAAGCAUCACGUUGCAGAGCUCUGUCUGGCCGGGUCUUGGGAUUCUCAAUUGCACAUUUGUGUAUAUGCUUCAGUCAGGAGGACUAUUCAGUCUGCCUCAGAUCAUUUUUAAAAGUUCGCAGGUUUUCAGGCUCCAAAAGUGUCAUUAUAUUUGGAAUGGAAUUUUGCCUCCUCCACCAGCAAUGUAAUAAAAUCUCCGAGUCUGAGAAAAAGUCAGAAAAGUUCAGAUGUCAACCAGGUUAACAUUAAAAUUGUUAGAAAACAGGAACCGUAAUUUGGGGAUUGAAAAAGAGGCAGAAUUCAUGUUGUAAGUGCAAGUGAUCUGGAAAUAGAUGUUUAUCUUGGCCAUUUUCAGGGAAGUGACAUCAUAUCGUGUGUCUACUGGGAUAUUACUCCUGCAUUUUUCAAUCCAGAUUUUGGCACUAAAGUUGGCAAAAUUAGACCAUUUUGUUAAACUGAUCUUGGAGGCGUCCACCUCCUGAGCACAUUACAACGCACCUAUGACAUGACUCGAGAACAAUGGGUGAAAAAUGGGCCAUAAAACAGGAAUGGCCUGCUUCAUGUAAAGUGGAUUUUAUAGUGCAG
Molecule: long non-coding RNA, 4659 nt
Filed under: Papio anubis (olive baboon)
Lineage: Eukaryota; Metazoa; Chordata; Mammalia; Primates; Cercopithecidae
Description: lncRNA (ENSPANG00000049411.1)
Source: RNAcentral